Molecule: ribosomal RNA, 492 nt
Filed under: uncultured bacterium
Lineage: Bacteria
Description: partial 16S ribosomal RNA
Rfam family: Bacterial small subunit ribosomal RNA
Source: RNAcentral
AGUGGACGCUGGCGGUAGGCCUAACACAUGCAAGUCGAACGGCAGCACAGUAAGAGCUUGCUCUUACGGGUGGCGAGUGGCGGACGGGUGAGGAAUACAUCGGAAUCUACUUUUUCGUGGGGGAUAACGUAGGGAAAUUUACGCUAAUACCGCAUACGACCUACGGGUGAAAGCAGGGGAUCUUCGGACCUUGCGCGAUUGAAUGAGCCGAUGUCGGAUUAGCUAGUUGGCGGGGUAAAGGCCCACCAAGGCGACGAUCCGUAGCUGGUCUGAGAGGAUGAUCAGCCACACUGGAACUGAGACACGGUCCAGACUCCUACGGGAGGCAGCAGUGGGGAAUAUUGGACAAUGGGCGCAAGCCUGAUCCAGCCAUACCGCGUGGGUGAAGAAGGCCUUCGGGUUGUAAAGCCCUUUUGUUGGGAAAGAAAAGCAGCAGGUUAAUACCCCGCUGUUCUGACGGUACCCAAAGAAUAAGCACCGGCUAACUUCGUG